ACGGAAGGUCCAGGCGUUAUCCGGAUUUAUUGGGUUUAAAGGGAGCGUAGGCCGUUUUUUAAGCGUGUUGUGAAAUACUGUCGCUCAACGACAGAGGUGCAGCGCGAACUGGAGGACUUGAGUGCGCGGAAUGUAGGCGGAAUUCGUCGUGUAGCGGUGAAAUGCUUAGAUAUGACGAAGAACUCCGAUUGCGAAGGCAGCUUACAGUAGCGUAACUGACGCUGAAGCUCGAAAGUGCGGGUAUCGAACAG
RNAcentral lists this ribosomal RNA (251 nucleotides) under uncultured bacterium. Its description in RNAcentral is "partial 16S ribosomal RNA". It matches the Rfam family "Bacterial small subunit ribosomal RNA", at positions 525 to 775 of the family's 1533-position model. The record is from RNAcentral.